CAUGCAAGUCGAACGAGAAAGUCCGAGCUUGCUCGGAUGAGUAAAGUGGCGCACGGGUGAGUAACGCGUGGGUAACCUGCCCUCGAAACCGGGAUAACUUCGCGAAAGCGUUGCUAAUACCGGAUAUUGUCCUUUUUACUGUGGUAUUAAGGAUGAAAGAUGACCUCUUCAUGAAAGUUGUCGUUCAAGGAGGGGCCCGCGUACCAUUAGCUUGUUGGUAGGGUAAUGGCCUACCAAGGCUACGAUGGUUAGCUGGUUUGAGAGGAUGAUCAGCCACACUGGAACUGAAACACGGUCCAGACUCCUACGGGAGGCAGCAGUGAGGAAUUUUGCGCAAUGGGGGAAACCCUGACGCAGCAACGCCGCGUGAGUGAAGAAGGCCUUAGGGUCGUAAAGCUCUGUCAAGUGGGAAAAAAGCCUUUUGAUCAAUAGUCAAAGGGUCUGAUGGUAACACUGGAGGAAGCACCGGCUAACUCCGUGCCAGCAGCCGCGGUAAUACGGAGGGUGCAAGCGUUGUUCGGAUUUAUUGGGCGUAAAGAGCGUGUAGGCGGUUUGGUAAGUCAGAUGUGAAAGCCCUGGGCUCAACCCAGGAAGUGCAUUUGAUACUGCCUGACUAGAGUAUGGGAGAGGAGAGUGGAAUUCCCAGUGUAGAGGUGAAAUUCGUAGAUAUUGGGAGGAACACCCGUGGCGAAGGCGACUCUCUGGACCAAUACUGACGCUGAGACGCGAAAGCGUGGGGAGCGAACAGGAUUAGAUACCCUGGUAGUCCACGCCGUAAACGAUGAGAACUAGGUGUAGCGGGUAUUGACCCCUGCUGUGCCGGAGCUAACGCAUUAAGUUCUCCGCCUGGGGAGUACGGUCGCAAGGCUAAAACUCAAAGGAAUUGACGGGGGCCCGCACAAGCGGUGGAGCAUGUGGUUUAAUUCGACGCAACGCGAAGAACCUUACCUGGAUUUACAUCCUCUGACACCCCUGGAAACAGGGCUUUUUCGACUUGUCGAAACAGAGUGACAGGUGCUGCAUGGCUGUCGUCAGCUCGUGUCGUGAGAUGUUGGGUUAAGUCCCGCAACGAGCGCAACCCUUGUCUUCAGUUGCCAGUAUUAAGUUAGGCACUCUGAAGAUACUGCCUCGAUUAACGAGGAGGAAGGUGGGGAUGACGUCAAGUCCUCAUGGCCUUUAUAUCCAGGGCUACACACGUGCUACAAUGGGCUGUACAAAGGGUCGCGAAACCGCAAGGUCAAGCCAAUCCCAAAAAGCAGCUCUCGGUUCGGAUUGGAGUCUGCAACUCGACUCCAUGAAGUUGGAAUCGCUAGUAAUCGUGGAUCAGCAUGCCACGGUGAAUACGCUCCCGGGCCUUGUACAC
Molecule: ribosomal RNA, 1363 nt
Filed under: metagenome
Description: bacterial SSU rRNA
Rfam family: Bacterial small subunit ribosomal RNA
Source: RNAcentral